Molecule: ribosomal RNA, 452 nt
Filed under: uncultured bacterium
Lineage: Bacteria
Description: bacterial SSU rRNA
Rfam family: Bacterial small subunit ribosomal RNA
Source: RNAcentral
UCAGAGCGAACGCUAGCGGCGGGCGUUAACACAUGCAAGUCGAGCGGAGAGCUUCGGCUCUCAGCGGCGAACGGGUGAGUAACACGUAGGUCACGUACCCUUUGAUGGGGAAUAACCUAGGGAAACCUGGGCUAAUACCGCAUAUGUCCUUCGGGAUGAAAGCCUUCGGGCGUCAGAGGAUCGGCCUGCGGCCCAUUAUUUAAUCCUAGUUGGUAGGGUAAUGGCCUACCAAGGGUACGAUGGGUAGCUGGUCUGAGAGGAUGAUCAGCCACACUGGAACUGAGACACGGUUCAGACUCCUACGGGAGGCAGCAGUGGGGAAUAUUGGACAAUGGGCGAAAGCCUGAUCCAGCCACGCCGCGUGGGUGAUGAAGGCCUUCGGGUUGUAAAGCCCUGUCGGGAGGGACGAAUCAAUGACGGUACCUCCCAAGAAAGCACCGGCUAACUCCGUG